Molecule: transfer RNA, 76 nt
Filed under: Clostridia bacterium
Lineage: Bacteria; Bacillati; Bacillota; Clostridia
Description: tRNA-Thr
Rfam family: tRNA
About the family: Transfer RNA (tRNA) molecules are approximately 80 nucleotides in length. Their secondary structure includes four short double-helical elements and three loops (D, anti-codon, and T loops).
Source: RNAcentral
GCCCGAAUAGCUCAGCUGGUAGAGCAGCAGUCCCGUAAACUGCAGGUCGCGGGUUCGAACCCCGCUUCGGGCUCCA